AGGAUGACAUGCUUGAUGUCGACUCCAUCCGUCAGAAAUUUUGGUCGAUGGAUAUUAAUAUCGUCACCGAUUUGUCACCUACAAAAUUAUACAAACACAUGAUAUUAUUAACAAAAAGUAUUAUUUAUAAUUAUGCCGAAAUAACUAGAAAACAACAAAAUAUAAAUACUUAUCUUCGAUUAUGAAGCCUGCGUAAAAAACUUGAUCUGGUAAAUGUUUAAGGUUGAGGCAUGUAAACACUGCCCUUAAGAUUAGAUUUCGCCCCUCGGAGACGUACAAUGUCUCUGUGUAAUAGGUUUAUAGCGCCCUACCCUCCAGGGUACAACAAUCAUUGAUCCUCGUAAGCGUACACUCGGAAUACUUGGAUCCUAGAGCCGCUUGAUAAUUUUCUUUGGCACUUGAAAGAUGAAUAAGAGAGCAUAUGACCAAGUAGAAUGAGAGGACCAAUGAGGAGAAUGUUUUGGUGAUAAUGUACAACUGUUAUCUAUAUCAUGGCCAUAAGGCGGGGAUAUAUAUAUAUAUAUAUAUAGCUCAACAAAAAAGAUUGGUUACAAAUCAUGAUGAUCAUAACUUUGGUCUUUGUAAUGGACAAGAAAGAGUUAAUAUGUGAUACAAUUGUAAUGGAUAUAUUUAUGGAAUGAAGGUUAUGUUGGAAAUCAAAGCACCAAUUAAUUGACUACAAUUAAACUCAAUAAAUAAUUUUUGUAUUUUGAAAUAUCACAUCAAAAAUUCCAAUAAUCCCUCACAUAUUUCAAAAUGCAAAAAUUCGAAUAAAAUGAGAGAAACGAAAGAGUGCCAAAGGUAAGCGAGAGUACAAUGCAUCUGAACUGGUGUCUUUUCGACUAUGAACCAGUCAUAGGAUAAGAUAGCCAUCACACACAAAAAUUUGGUGAAAAUAAUUUUUUUUAUGAACCAUAAUUUCUCGAUGUGCAUCAGAGAGUUACUAUCCACAUUGAACCGCAAAUUUGUCCUGCGAAUGGGCAUGAAUAGGCCAUGCACCCCUACCUGGAUAUUCAUGAGUGCUCUAGAAGGCUUGCCCAAGUCUCAUAGGAAACGGCCCAACUUCCACACUCAUAUAGGUGAGUCCAUCAAGUGUGUAUUGGAAUCGGACACACCACCCAAAUUUUGGGCUAUGGAAUUCAUUAAGAACAUAUGUUUAACCUUUACACAUUGCAGUUAACGCAUUAUCUAUUUUCACCAUAAGGAGAGACUAUCAAUAAUUUAUUUGAUAGUGCACCACUGACCAACAAGUGACUUGUUUCUACCCAUAUGAACCUACUUCAUAGGAUCUCCAAUCACAUAGGUUGGGUUACCAUCACUCCUGAUCUUUGUUUAUAAACAUAAGCCCCAUCCCCCUUGAUGUAUCACUCACUAGCUUUCGGCCUAGUGGUUUUGUUAAAGGGUCUGCUAAAUUCAACUUAGAUUUCACAAAGUCAAUAGAUAUGACUCCAUUCUCAAGCAAUUGCUUCACAAUAUUAUGCUUUAGGCGUAUGUGCCUAUUUUUCCCAUUAUAUGUUUUAUUUUUAGCUCUAGCUAUAGCAACUUGGCUAUCACAAUGCAUAGACACAGAAAAAGUUGGUCUGUCAAGAGGUUUCUAAGCCACUCAGCCUCUAAACUGGCCUUAUCUUUUUCUUUUUUUUGGCGAAAAACUUGCCUUCUCUAAGGCCACAAACUCAGAUUCCAUAGUGGACCGAGUUAUCACCGUUUGCUUGGAGGUUUUCCAAGAUAUUGCACCUCCAUCAAGAGUAAAUACAUGGUAGAUUUAAUUUCAUCUGAAUCAGAGAUCCAAUUCGCGUCACAAUACCCUUCUAGUACCUCAGGAAAUCCACCAUAUCUCAAUUCAUAAUUAAGAGUACCUUUUAAAUAUUUUAGUACUCUUGAAAUAGCAUUCCAGUGGUCCUUGUUCGGACUUUGAGUGUACCUGCUCAAUCUCCCAACUGCAUAAGAAAUAUCUGGUCUUGUGCAAAUUGCAAGAUACAUCAAGCUACCAAUAAUUCGAGCAUAUUCAAAUUGAGAAAAACAUUCACCAUUAUUUUUCUUUAAUUGAAUACUAGCAUAAUAAGGUGUUGCUACUGAAUUAUAAUCAAAGUGACAAAACCUUCUUAAUACAAACCUUCUUAAUCAGAAACAUUCAGUACAAUCAAAUCUUGAUUGCAAUACCCUUUCCCCACAAAUUGACCAUUUUUAGUCGGAACAAUCUUAUCAAAUUCAAAAACAACCCUUACCCCCACUUUACCAAGUAAAGCAACAGAGACAAGAUUAUGACGAAUUUCUAGAACAUAAAGAACAUCACCAAGAAGGGUUUUACCAGAGGUUAGUUUGAGAAGCACUUUCCCUUUGCCCAUAACUGGGGUAGGCCUUGAGUCACCCAUAAGGACGACCUCCUCACCUUCUUUUAUUGGAAUAAAUGAGACAAAGGCACUCCUAUUAGCACAGAUGUGCCUUGUCUACCACCCAAUCUUUGGCACUAGUCACCACAUUAACUUCAGAAAUGACCGCAACAAUGACUUCAUCAUCUGAUUCUACCAAGUUAGCACGAGCAGGUGGGUUGUUGCCCUUCCUUCUAUUGCUUUCAUUUGCGUGGUGUCCUGGUUUUCCACAAACAAAACAACUCCCCUUCUUUUUGAAAUUUGUGUUGUAAGUAGGCUUCAUAUUCUUAACAAGCUUGUGGUGAGAUUUGUUGUCACGCUUGGUGAAAGAUUUGUAACUAGAAUUGUAAUUUUUACCUUUCAACUUACCCUCCUCGAUCACAUUAGCUUUCACCUUCAUUUCAUCAACUUGAGUAGCUCUAUCUUAUACACGGUUCGUUUCCUCAAUUCGAAUAUGCACAACAACAUCUUCUAGGCUCAUAUGCUUCUUUUUGUGCUUCAUGUUGUUCUUGUAGUCCUUCCAUGAUUCGGGUAGUUUUUCAAUGAGGCUUCCGGACACAAAUGCUUCAGUUUAACUCAAUGCCUUCAGUCUUCAAAUCAUCGAAAAUCUUGUGAAACUCAUGAAUUUGAAGUGAAACAUCUCUGUCUUCCACCAUCUGAAAUUUCAGAAAAUUCCCAAUUGCAUAGUUCUGGCUUCCGGCAUCUUCAGUCGCAUACUUUUUGUUGAGAACCUCCCAUAUUUCAGCAGCGAUCUUGUAGGUAUAGUAGAUAUCAAAAAGCUCAUUUGAAAGUGUACGUGCUCAGAAUGGUAUGCCUACAGACCUUGUUACCUUUCUCUCACUUGGCCAAUGAGUUGUCAUAGUCCUCACUUCCUUCCUUGGGCUUGGCCUUGGUGAGAUAAUCUGCAUAGUUCAUGACAUCAAGAGAAGAGAAGACCCUUUCUUGCCAUCUUUUGAAGGACGAGCCGUUGAAAACAUCGAUCUUGGACACAUCUGGGAUUUUGGUCAAAGCAGCAUCCAUGAAUUUUACUAUUAAGAUUGUUGGAAAUUUUGGUCAAUGGAUGUUAAUAUCGCCACCGAAUUUUGUCACAUACAAAAUCAUACAAAUACAUGAUAUUAUUAACAAAUAAUAUUACUUAUAAUUAUGCCGAAAUAACUAAAAAACAACAAAAUAUAAAUACUUAUCUUCGAUUAUGUAGCCUGCGUCAAAAACUUAAUAUGAUAAAUGUUUAAGGUUGAGGCGUGUAAACACUGCCCUUAAGAAUAGAUUUCACCCCUCGGAGACAAUAUCUCAGUGUAAUAGGUUUAUGACGCCCUACCCUUCAGGAUAUAACAACCGUUGAUCCUUGUAAGCGUACACUCGCAAUACUUGGAUCUUAGAACCGCUUGAUAAAUUCCUUUUGCACUUUUGCACUUGAAAGAUGAAUAAGAGAGCAUAUGACCAAGUAGAAUGAGAGGACCAAUGAGGAGAAUGUUUUGGUGAUAAUGUACAACUGUUAUCUAUAUCAUGGCCAUGAGGCGGGGAUAUAUAUAUAUAUACACACGAAAACGAUAGAAAGCGCACGUGCGAACAAUCCUUAAAGUGCGCACGGAGCUCCGUUCGCCACCAUCCGGCACCGAAUUCCAGUUUUCGGUGAGAUAGACUUUAUUUGAAGUUUUGGGUGAUCUCGCCAGAAAACUGGAAAAGAACGGACUCGUCGGGGAGGGAAAGUGGUCGGGGAUGCUGCUUGAGUCUUCUUGGGGGGAGGCGCGCCGUCGUCGGCGAUGAACUGUGGCGAACGGAGGGACGUGCACACUUUAAGCCAGUGCGGACGUGCGCUCCACAUCCGGCCUAAUAUAUAUAUAUAUAUAUAUAUAUAUAUAUAUAUAUAUAU
Molecule: long non-coding RNA, 4242 nt
Filed under: Fragaria vesca (wild strawberry)
Lineage: Eukaryota; Viridiplantae; Streptophyta; Magnoliopsida; Rosales; Rosaceae
Description: long non-coding RNA (FVES_LNC003106)
Source: RNAcentral